This 692-nucleotide long non-coding RNA is filed under the name Brassica napus (rape). Its description in RNAcentral is "long non-coding RNA (BNAP_LNC000721)". The record is from RNAcentral. Lineage: Eukaryota; Viridiplantae; Streptophyta; Magnoliopsida; Brassicales; Brassicaceae.
ACCACAAAAGAAUAUGGGAAAUAUCAAUGUACACAUGUUUUUUUCAACCUUACUAAUUAUUUGUUUUUUUGUGCUUUUUUCUGUUGAACACAAAGUCAAAAUAUGUGACUUCUUUCAUCUUCUCCCGUAGGUUCACAACUUUUCUCUGCCAAUAUCCACCUUCAGAUCAGUGAAAAAAAAUAUGCCUAAAAUUUGCUUCCGGGAUUAUCAGCUGAUGAACCCAUUGAAAAACAUGUUCCACCCAAUUACGAUAUACAUAAAAGUGAAAAACAAAGGAGCAGAGCUGCCUCUUCUAAAAAAAAUCAGAACAGACAACAGAGUAAGCCCAUGUUUCCAUAUUCAGCCGUAUACAAAUCAUGUUCUUUUGAAACGACAUACAAUCUCAUCUAUGAAGUAAAAAUUCUACCAAAACCUUUACCUCAUCUCAUCGAAAAUAAGGAAGAUCUGAAACCUCCGAGCUAAGAAUUGCAUAUUCUCCACUGAUUGAGAUCCAAAAAAAAACCUCCAAUCUUGGUCGCUAUAACAUGUGAUUCUUUCCUCCAUUUAAUACAGACUAAUAUGACUGAAAAAUCAUAGAGAAACCCAGUAACCCUUUGAAUCUUCAUCGUUGUUAGGUUUGAGAUAGUUUCACAUCUUAAUCGUCGCAGAGCCGGAUAUUCAAAUAUUUUAAAGAUCCUUCACAUAUAUUAUUU